GUAGGGGCAGUAAGGAGCUUCCAGGGAAGAGGAACCUUUCUGUCUCUUCUCCCUCCCCUGCCCCUUGGAGGUCAAAGGCUCAGGUUCUGUGUAAGAGCAGAGGACUGAGCUCAAGGCUGCUGUCCCGGCCUUCCGGCCUUCCGCAGCACCAGGGCAAAAACCUUCCUACCUCAUGUUUUAGUUUUCCACAGCCUAAUCCUUUCACUCCUCUACUUCCCAUACUCUUCCCUGCUGCCUUCCAGAACUGUGCUCUUAACAACUGAUCAACAAGCAAUAGGGGUGAGUGGAAUGAAAACUUUGAAGAAUGAAAAAGACAAAUUCUAACUGAGCUAUCUAGCUGUGAUGCUUCUAAAACUGAACUUAACCUGAAAUGAAUUUAUCUUGACAGCAUGUUAAAUGAGUUACUAUAAACUCAUAAAUCAGGAUUUAAAAAUAUUUCAGAUACUGGGGAGAACUCAGGUGUAGUGGCAUUCACCUAUAAUCCUCGUACUUGGGAGGCCGAGGCAGGAGGAUCACUGUGAGUUCAAGACCAGCCUGGGCUAGAGUGAAACCCUGUCUCAAAAAUAAAAAAUUUUUUAAAAUCAGGGAGAAAACCCAAACCCUUUUGUAUUUCAGGACAAAUUUUUAGGUAGAUGAAUCAAGUUGUAUUUGAAUAUAGAUUAAAACAAGUAAUUCAUACUCCUCUUCCUUAAUUUGAGAUUUACUAGAAGAAAUGACAGAGAGAAUGGAAGCUUUGGAAAAUCGCCUGAGAGCCAGAUGAGGACUAGAAAUGCUAUACACAUGUGUACACCGUAGUGCCGAGGGUCAGGCGAGGCCCAGAGCCCCACAGCUCAGCUGUUACGUCUGUAAUGUUGUGCAGUAAACACCAGUUCUGAGGAAGCUGGUUUUCUAUACAACAAAGACAAAAAGUACACACUAACUUGUAUAAUUUAGGAAAACAAACGCAUCAGCAUUCCAGGAUGCAUUUACCGUGAGAAUAAGCUACACAGGUGUUCUGUAAUGUCCUCUGGACAUGCACGCUCUGCUUCUGCCUCAGCCAGCCUUAGCAUUGUACUAUUUGACUACAAAACACUUUGCAGUCCCCCUCCCACAGACACUGGCCGGCCACAAGAGAUGUUUUGGUACUGGACUUUAUCUUGAUAUAUGUAUAUGGAUACGUAAAAGAUCACAGGACAUAUGUACUUAUGUAACAAGUUGAAUAUUUUCCCGAGUACCAGGGAUUGAACUCAGGAUCUUGUGCUUACAAGGCAGGCGCAGUGCCACUGAGCUAAAUCCCCGGCCCCCACAAGUUGAAUUUUUUUAUACAAUAUUAAAAUUCACUUAAGAGAAUGGCA
This 1334-nucleotide long non-coding RNA is filed under the name Heterocephalus glaber (naked mole-rat). Its description in RNAcentral is "lncRNA (ENSHGLG00100036595.1)". Lineage: Eukaryota; Metazoa; Chordata; Mammalia; Rodentia; Bathyergidae. The record is from RNAcentral.